UUACAGGUGUGAGUCACUGUGCCCAGCGUCAGGGAGGUGUCAUGCUUUGCCUGGUAUCACACCAUUUGUACUUGAGGAUUUGAACCCAGAGCCAUCAGCUUCCUCUUCUUCACAGUACUUGUAUCCACCUCUAUGAUCUCAAACCUUCCCAUGGAAAAUGUCUCAGCUUAUCCCCAAGCAGCUGUUUCCCCACCACAGAUGGAUGCCUGUACUCCUAGCUUCCUGUCACCCCUACUACUUACUUCCCAGAUGCUCGGACAACCUGAAGCUCCUGCUCCCUGAGCCCUAGGGACUGGCUCAGCUCUGGCAGCACUGAGAACAACGUCAGCUCUCCUGGUUUUCCUGGAAAGUAAGAAAGAAAAAUUACAAGAGGCCAAAGCUUCAUGCCUUCACUUUUCCCUCCCUCAGACACGAAACCCCCUUCCGCUGCAUUCCCUUCCCACAUCCCCGGCCCAUACCUGUCACCGGUAGACCCUGUGGCUUGUUCAACGUCACUAGAGGUCCUGAAACAUACAUCACACGAACAUCGGCAAAAGCAACGGUAACCCUUUAUGCAGCACUUAAGAGUUUCCAGAGCACUUUCUCACGCAUCUUAGCACAUGUCCCCAUCAUGACUCUCAGACAUGAGUUAACUACCCCACACCAAAUUCAACUUCUUUCUGUUCCUCUGCCACCUCAGAGCCUCGGCACUUGCUGUUUCCUGUCCCCAAAUUUCCCAGGUCUGGCUCCCUAUCAUCUUGGCUCAAAUGUCACAUCACGGAGAGGUCUGAAUCUCCAAUCUAAUGUCUGCCUUCCUCCUGCAGUUCCUCACCAUCAUAACACCCUGUUUUAGUUUAUGCAUAGCACUUACCACUAGUAACUUGUUCAUUUAUUUUCUGACAUCCAUUUCUCCCGUUAGAGAGAAAUCCAUUUCUCCCCUGAGAGCAGAAACCAUAUCUAUCUUUUUCAGCACUGUAUAGCCUGCCGAGAACAGUGCCUGGAACAUAGCAUAUGUUCAAGAAAUAGUUGAGAAAAGGAAUAAAUCACUGAAUAGAGAGUGGGGUUCAGAGAAAUUCAGUUAUUUUCCUAAAGCCGCACAGCAAGCUGAUCACAGAGCCUAGGUAUGUCUGACUCCAAAGCCUGUGUUUUGUCCGUCGAUAAACAAUCAUUAUUUAUUUAUUUAUUUAUUUAUUUAGACUGAGUCUUGCUCUGUCGCCCCAGGCUGGAGCGCAGUAGCACGAUCUCGGCUCACUGCAACCUCUGCUAUCCGGGUUCAGGUGACUCUCCUGCCUCAGCCUCCCGAGUAGCUGGGAUUACAGGCGGACGCCGCCACACCUGGCUAAUUUUUGUAUUUUUAGUAGAGAGGGGGUUUCACUAUGUUGGCCAGGCUAGUCUCGAACUCCUGACCUCAGGUGAUCCGCCCGCGUCAGCACCCUAAAGUGCCGGGAUUACAGGCGUGAGCCACCGCGGCCAAUAAACAAUAAUCUAGUAUAGCAACUCCCGUAACUGAGCGCCGGCUAUGUGCAAGGCUCGGUAGUUAUUUGCGUCUUCUCCCCCACUCUUAACCCUACUGCAUCAUGGCAGUAGGGUUAAAAGCGGGGAGAGGGUGCAAAUUAGGCGGCUCGUCCCAGCUCAUGCUGCUAGUGGGAGGCAGAAGCAGGGCUGAUCCUGUGGCUUCAAUGGAGAGCCCACCUGCACGCCGAGGCAGUCCCCUCCCGGUCUUUGUGCGGCCGUGCCUCUCACCCCUCACCUUUCCGGUCCACCACGGCUGCCCGCAGCGCAUCAACCAACUCCUCCCGACUGAGGUUUUUUGGCAGCAGCCCCGGGAAGGGCUGGUCCCCGAGGGGCCCCGACCGUUGGCGGGAGCCGCGGGGUUGCCUCUGAUGCCUGGACAAGGAGGGAGAAGCAAUGGGAGUCAUUCCAUCCCGAGGUGCCGCCCAUUCCUAUCUCCGGACGCCUCUUCCCAAAUCCUGCGGCCUCUGACAAAUGCCUCACAAUGUCUGGGCUGACCUCGAAAAUUCAGGGCCCAGCUCCUAACAUGCAGGUGUCACCAGAGAGAGAUGCACCACUGUGCCCAGCACCAUAGCUCUGGCUCAGAGAGUUUGCCUGAGAAAGCAGCAGACAGAAAACAGAAGGUGCGAGUUGCUCCUGAAGGAACUGACUUCAUGUGCAACAGAGCUCGGAGAAUCCAAGGCUAAGCACACUCUCCAGAACAGUGGAGGUUGUGCUGAAAGGCAACUGGGAGGCGACAGAGAGCCUGGGAGGUGCGGGCUACACUGGAGGCCAGCAAGUCUGCCAGAGAGAAACAAAAAAAGACAGCUGGGAAGAGCUCUCCUGGGGUCAGAACAAAGCUUAAUAUCUUCUUUGACAAAGAACGUAACAUCGAAAUAGCCAAUAAUGGGUUUAGUUCAACAUUUGCAAAGAGAGACAACAUUGAAAAGAGAACGUUUAAUGGGACUCUCCCUUAUGCAGGCCCAGAACUCUUCCUGGGCCAUGGGUACCAAUGCCCUGCCAUCAACGUUUGGAGCCUUGGCAUCAUCGUAUGCAAAAUGGUGG
RNAcentral lists this long non-coding RNA (2535 nucleotides) under Pan troglodytes (chimpanzee). Its description in RNAcentral is "long non-coding RNA NONPTRT011270". Lineage: Eukaryota; Metazoa; Chordata; Mammalia; Primates; Hominidae. The record is from RNAcentral.